UACGUAGGGUGCAAGCGUUGUCCGGAAUUAUUGGGCGUAAAGAGCUCGUGGGCGGUCUGUCACGUCGGCUGUGAAAACCCGAGGCUCAACCUCGGGCCUGCAGUCGAUACGGGCAAACUAGAGUACUGCAGGGGAGACUGGAAUUCCUGGUGUAGCGGUGAAAUGCGCAGAUAUCAGGAGGAACACCGGUGGCGAAGGCGGGUCUCUGGGCAGUAACUGACGCUGAGGGGCGAAAGCGUGGGGAGCGAACAGG
RNAcentral lists this ribosomal RNA (253 nucleotides) under uncultured bacterium. Its description in RNAcentral is "partial 16S ribosomal RNA". It matches the Rfam family "Bacterial small subunit ribosomal RNA", at positions 524 to 776 of the family's 1533-position model. The record is from RNAcentral.